This 468-nucleotide ribosomal RNA is filed under the name uncultured bacterium. RNAcentral describes it as "partial 16S ribosomal RNA". It matches the Rfam family "Bacterial small subunit ribosomal RNA", at positions 28 to 507 of the family's 1533-position model. The record is from RNAcentral.
GACGAACGCUGGCGGCGUGCUUAACACAUGCAAGUCGAACGGAAAGGCCCUGCUUUUGUGGGGUGCUCGAGUGGCGAACGGGUGAGUAACACGUGAGUAACCUGCCCUUGACUUUGGGAUAACUUCAGGAAACUGGGGCUAAUACCGGAUAGGAGCUCCUGCUGCAUGGUGGGGGUUGGAAAGUUUCGGCGGUUGGGGAUGGACUCGCGGCUUAUCAGCUUGUUGGUGGGGUAGUGGCUUACCAAGGCUUUGACGGGUAGCCGGCCUGAGAGGGUGGCCGGCCACAUUGGGACUGAGAUACGGCCCAGACUCCUACGGGAGGCAGCAGUGGGGAAUAUUGCACAAUGGGUGGAAGCCUGAUGCAGCAACGCCGCGUGCGGGAUGACGGCCUUCGGGUUGUAAACCGCUUUCGCCUGUGACGAAGCGUGAGUGACGGUAAUGGGUAAAGAAGCACCGGCUAACUACGUG